RNAcentral lists this ribosomal RNA (460 nucleotides) under uncultured bacterium. Its description in RNAcentral is "partial 16S ribosomal RNA". It matches the Rfam family "Bacterial small subunit ribosomal RNA", at positions 338 to 795 of the family's 1533-position model. The record is from RNAcentral.
CCUACGGGAGGCAGCAGUGAGGAAUAUUGGUCAAUGGACGAGAGUCUGAACCAGCCAAGUAGCGUGAAGGAUGACUGCCCUAUGGGUUGUAAACUCUUUUUAUAAGGGAAUAAAACGAGGCACGUGUGCCUUAUUGCAUGUACUACAUGAAUAAGGAUCGCCUAAGUCAGCGCCAGCAGCCGCGGUAAUACGGAGGAACCGAGCGUUAUCCGGAUUUAUUGGGUUUAAAGGGAGCGUAGAUGGGUUGUUAAGUCAGUUGUGAAAGUUUGCGGCUCAACCGUAGAAUUGCAUUUGAUACUGGCAGUCUUGAGUGCAGUUGAGGUAGGCGGAAUGCGUGGUGUAGCGGUGAAAUGCUUAGAUAUCACGAAGAACCCCGAUUGCGAAGGCAGCUUACUAAACUGUGACUGACGUUGAUGCUCGAAAGUGUGGGUAUCAAACAGGAUUAGAUACCCCUGUAGUC